RNAcentral lists this ribosomal RNA (532 nucleotides) under Crispabrachia yenisey. RNAcentral's name for it is "Siboglinidae gen. n. sp. y NK-2021 partial large subunit ribosomal RNA". It matches the Rfam family "Bacterial large subunit ribosomal RNA", at positions 1797 to 2596 of the family's 2925-position model. Lineage: Eukaryota; Metazoa; Annelida; Polychaeta; Sabellida; Siboglinidae. The record is from RNAcentral.
CGCCUGUUUAACAAAAACAUAGCUUUUUGAGUAAUUUAUAAAAAGUUAUUUCUGCCCAAUGAUUCUUUAUAUUAAAUGGCCGCAGUAUCUUAACUGUGCAAAGGUAGCAUAAUCACUUGCUUUUUAAUUAAAGGCUGGAAUGAAUGAAUUUACGAAAAUUUAGCUGUCUCUCACGUAACUUAUAAAAUUUAAUCUUAAAGUGAAAAAGCUUUAAUAAAAUUAAAGGACAAGAAGACCCUAUUGAGCUUUAUUUUAUUUGUUUUAACUUUCUACCAUUUUUAAACAAAAUUUUUAAAAUAAAAAAAAUUAGUUGGGGCGACUAAAGAAUAUUAAUAUCUUCUUUAAACUUAAAGGAUUAUAAUCCUAUUUUAAGAUCUAAUCUAUUAAUCUAAAGAAAAGCUACCAUAGGGAUAACAGUCUAAUCUUUCUUAAAAGUUCAAAUUAACAGAAAGGAUUGGCACCUCGAUGUUGGCUUAAGAUACCUUUUUUAUGCAACUAUAAAUAAAGUAGGUUUGUUCAACCUUUAAAAUCU